GCCGCAGCUCACCGCAUGCAUGGAGUCUUAGCUUUAUUCUUCUCUCUGCACAUAUCUUUUAGUUCACGAGUGUACAAUUACGGGUAACGCGACAGUUUCCCGAAAAAUGGCGGAGAAAAGCUUCCCAGCUAUCCAAGUUCUUGCAGAAUAUUAUUAGUUGGAGGCCACUUUCCUGUGAAGUAAGAUUACCAAAGUCUGAGGUUACUGUGUCCUUGAAUGCGUCCCAGAAAGCAAAAGUUGAAUCACAUCCUAAUAUCAAAUAUCAGAGUAAGAUGUGUUACUAGCAGUGUGAUGACAGAUUAAUGCAUCAAACUAAUAAUAGGAAACAGGAUGUUUUGCCUAUGCUUGCCUCUGCAAGUAAGGUUAUUGUGAUUUACGGUCAAGAAUGAUGAACUUUUCCCCAAAAAUUGAGGAUUGGUCCUUAAAGAAGACAACUACAGUAAAAUGAAAAAUAAAAAUCAUAUAAAUGGAAGAUGCAAGAGUCACGAGAAAUCAAGGAUCACAAAGAAAGUAGAAAGAAGAAUUAUAAUCGGAUCUUGCCCAAAAUGUUGGAUUCCUCAUCAUGUUAUGAAUGUUUCUCUGGUGUUGUGUUAAUUUUUCUGUAAUACAUAAUAUUAAAUUAUAUUGGGUGAGUGCAAAAGUUCGU
Harpegnathos saltator (Jerdon's jumping ant) is the source of this 646-nucleotide long non-coding RNA. RefSeq lists it as uncharacterized. The record is from RefSeq and is a predicted model, not a curated record. The transcript has 4 exons. Lineage: Eukaryota; Metazoa; Arthropoda; Insecta; Hymenoptera; Formicidae.